This 501-nucleotide ribosomal RNA is filed under the name Halomonas sp. HM1. RNAcentral's name for it is "bacterial SSU rRNA". It matches the Rfam family "Bacterial small subunit ribosomal RNA", at positions 314 to 807 of the family's 1533-position model. Lineage: Bacteria; Pseudomonadati; Pseudomonadota; Gammaproteobacteria; Oceanospirillales; Halomonadaceae. The record is from RNAcentral.
CGGGACUGAGACACGGCCCGAACUCCUACGGGAGGCAGCAGUGGGGAAUAUUGGACAAUGGGCGAAAGCCUGAUCCAGCCAUGCCGCGUGUGUGAAGAAGGCCCUCGGGUUGUAAAGCACUUUCAGCGAGGAAGAACGCCUAGUGGUUAAUACCCAUUAGGAAAGACAUCACUCGCAGAAGAAGCACCGGCUAACUCCGUGCCAGCAGCCGCGGUAAUACGGAGGGUGCAAGCGUUAAUCGGAAUUACUGGGCGUAAAGCGCGCGUAGGUGGCUUGAUAAGCCGGUUGUGAAAGCCCCGGGCUCAACCUGGGAACGGCAUCCGGAACUGUCAAGCUAGAGUGCAGGAGAGGAAGGUAGAAUUCCCGGUGUAGCGGUGAAAUGCGUAGAGAUCGGGAGGAAUACCAGUGGCGAAGGCGGCCUUCUGGACUGACACUGACACUGAGGUGCGAAAGCGUGGGUAGCAAACAGGAUUAGAUACCCUGGUAGUCCACGCCGUAAAC